AGCGGAUUGGUGUAAUGGUAGCACAUCAGACUCUGACUCUGCUAGUACAGGUUCGAAUCCUGUAUCCGUUG
RNAcentral lists this transfer RNA (71 nucleotides) under Lachnospiraceae bacterium. RNAcentral describes it as "tRNA-Gln". It matches the Rfam family "tRNA". Rfam says of the family: Transfer RNA (tRNA) molecules are approximately 80 nucleotides in length. Their secondary structure includes four short double-helical elements and three loops (D, anti-codon, and T loops). The record is from RNAcentral. Lineage: Bacteria; Bacillati; Bacillota; Clostridia; Lachnospirales; Lachnospiraceae.